UGUGAGCUCGAUGAGUAGGGCGGGACACGUGGUAUCCUGUCUGAAUAUGGGGGGACCAUCCUCCAAGGCUAAAUACUCCUGACUGACCGAUAGUGAACCAGUACCGUGAGGGAAAGGCGAAAAGAACCCCGGCGAGGGGAGUGAAAAAGAACCUGAAACCGUGUACGUACAAGCAGUGGGAGCCUCUUUUAUGGGGUGACUGCGUACCUUUUGUAUAAUGGGUCAGCGACUUAUAUUCUGUAGCAAGGUUAACCGAAUAGGGGAGCCGAAGGGAAACCGAGUCUUAACUGGGCGUUAAGUUGCAGGGUAUAGACCCGAAACCCGGUGAUCUAGCCAUGGGCAGGUUGAAGGUUGGGUAACACUAACUGGAGGACCGAACCGACUAAUGUUGAAAAAUUAGCGGAUGACUUGUGGCUGGGGGUGAAAGGCCAAUCAAACCGGGAGAUAGCUGGUUCUCCCCGAAAGCUAUUUAGGUAGCGCCUCGUGAAUUCAUCUCCGGGGGUAGAGCACUGUUUCGGCAAGGGGGUCAUCCCGACUUACCAACCCGAUGCAAACUGCGAAUACCGGAGAAUGUUAUCACGGGAGACACACGGCGGGUGCUAACGUCCGUCGUGAAGAGGGAAACAACCCAGACCGCCAGCUAAGGUCCCAAAGUCAUGGUUAAGUGGGAAACGAUGUGGGAAGGCCCAGACAGCCAGGAUGUUGGCUUAGAAGCAGCCAUCAUUUAAAGAAAGCGUAAUAGCUCACUGGUCGAGUCGGCCUGCGCGGAAGAUGUAACGGGGCUAAACCAUGCACCGAAGCUGCGGCAGCGACACUAUGUGUUGUUGGGUAGGGGAGCGUUCUGUAAGCCUGUGAAGGUGUGCUGUGAGGCAUGCUGGAGGUAUCAGAAGUGCGAAUGCUGACAUAAGUAACGAUAAAGCGGGUGAAAAGCCCGCUCGCCGGAAGACCAAGGGUUCCUGUCCAACGUUAAUCGGGGCAGGGUGAGUCGACCCCUAAGGCGAGGCCGAAAGGCGUAGUCGAUGGGAAACAGGUUAAUAUUCCUGUACUUGGUGUUACUGCGAAGGGGGGACGGAGAAGGCUAUGUUGGCCGGGCGACGGUUGUCCCGGUUUAAGCGUGUAGGCUGGUUUUCCAGGCAAAUCCGGAAAAUCAAGGCUGAGGCGUGAUGACGAGGCACUACGGUGCUGAAGCAACAAAUGCCCUGCUUCCAGGAAAAGCCUCUAAGCAUCAGGUAACAUCAAAUCGUACCCCAAACCGACACAGGUGGUCAGGUAGAGAAUACCAAGGCGCUUGAGAGAACUCGGGUGAAGGAACUAGGCAAAAUGGUGCCGUAACUUCGGGAGAAGGCACGCUGAUAUGUAGGUGAAGCGACUUGCUCGUGGAGCUGAAAUCAGUCGAAGAUACCAGCUGGCUGCAACUGUUUAUUAAAAACACAGCACUGUGCAAACACGAAAGUGGACGUAUACGGUGUGACGCCUGCCCGGUGCCGGAAGGUUAAUUGAUGGGGUCAGCGCAAGCGAAGCUCUUGAUCGAAGCCCCGGUAAACGGCGGCCGUAACUAUAACGGUCCUAAGGUAGCGAAAUUCCUUGUCGGGUAAGUUCCGACCUGCACGAAUGGCGUAAUGAUGGCCAGGCUGUCUCCACCCGAGACUCAGUGAAAUUGAACUCGCUGUGAAGAUGCAGUGUACCCGCGGCAAGACGGAAAGACCCCGUGAACCUUUACUAUAGCUUGACACUGAACAUUGAGCCUUGAUGUGUAGGAUAGGUGGGAGGCUUAGAAGUGUGGACGCCAGUCUGCAUGGAGCCGACCUUGAAAUACCACCCUUUAAUGUUUGAUGUUCUAACGUGGACCCGUGAUCCGGGUUGCGGACAGUGUCUGGUGGGUAGUUUGACUGGGGCGGUCUCCUCCUAAAGAGUAACGGAGGAGCACGAAGGUUGGCUAAUCCUGGUCGGACAUCAGGAGGUUAGUGCAAUGGCAUAAGCCAGCUUGACUGCGAGCGUGACGGCGCGAGCAGGUGCGAAAGCAGGUCAUAGUGAUCCGGUGGUUCUGAAUGGAAGGGCCAUCGCUCAACGGAUAAAAGGUACUCCGGGGAUAACAGGCUGAUACCGCCCAAGAGUUCAUAUCGACGGCGGUGUUUGGCACCUCGAUGUCGGCUCAUCACAUCCUGGGGCUGAAGUAGGUCCCAAGGGUAUGGCUGUUCGCCAUUUAAAGUGGUACGCGAGCUGGGUUUAGAACGUCGUGAGACAGUUCGGUCCCUAUCUGCCGUGGGCGCUGGAGAACUGAGGGGGGCUGCUCCUAGUACGAGAGGACCGGAGUGGACGCAUCACUGGUGUUCGGGUUGUCAUGCCAAUGGCACUGCCCGGUAGCUAAAUGCGGAAGAGAUAAGUGCUGAAAGCAUCUAAGCACGAAACUUGCCCCGAGAUGAGUUCUCCCUGACCCUUUAAGGGUCCUGAAGGAACGUUGAAGACGACGACGUUGAUAGGCCGGGUGUGUAAGCGCAGCGAUGCGUUGAGCUAACCGGUACUAAUGAACCGUGAGGCUUAACCUUACAACGCCGAAGCUGUU
Molecule: ribosomal RNA, 2563 nt
Filed under: Escherichia coli
Lineage: Bacteria; Pseudomonadati; Pseudomonadota; Gammaproteobacteria; Enterobacterales; Enterobacteriaceae
Description: partial 23S ribosomal RNA
Rfam family: Bacterial large subunit ribosomal RNA
Source: RNAcentral